RNAcentral lists this long non-coding RNA (3083 nucleotides) under Sus scrofa (pig). RNAcentral describes it as "lncRNA (ENSSSCG00055006907.1)". The record is from RNAcentral. Lineage: Eukaryota; Metazoa; Chordata; Mammalia; Artiodactyla; Suidae.
GCUCAGAUUCUGGGGACACCUCCUCUGAGCCACACCCAUGCUGAAUAAACCUUGCUGAAUAAAUAUUCCACAUCUCCGAGUGCCACUUGUCUCUUUUUGCUGCCACGGUUUCUGCAACAUUUUCUCCAUGAAGUAGGUCCUGCCCAUCGGUAACAAGAAUCAGAGAAUUAGCUUGGCCAAUCAGAAGCUGUCUCUUGGGAGUUUGAACAGAAGGAUAAUAAUGAGAGAAGCAUCAUCACUAAGCACCAAGAGAAGAAGCAGAGGAAGACAAUAUCUUUAUGGCAGCAUCAUGUAGACUGUUCUGGGCCUGAGAAAGUGAAGAGCGUCACCACCUAAAAAGCAAAGUAAAUUAAUUCCACGGUGUUAAAACUAAUUACAAGUAAACCCGAGAGAGCCAACGAUGGGAAUAAUGUGAAAUCCAGGAUUUGCUUCAGGAAGGGUCCACGGCGGAGAGGAGCCAGCAGCAAGGGUGGAAAUAAAAAGUAGAGCCCAAUCUGGACUGUCAGAAGUGUAAGACUCAUCCUAAACUGAAGAAGGAGCCAACAAACGUUGAAAGAAGACAGAGUGGGGCAUGAGCCUGGGGAUGCUAGCGGGAUCCUCUGGAGGACAGCCCGGAGAUGCAGGGACCAGACACAAGCCCACACAUCUGGAAGUCACUGCAGUGAUGUGAUCUAGAACAGAGGCUAAGAGCUUGGAGAGGAGCGACAGAGGCCAAGGUCAGGUGAGAGGUCUACCGACUAGAAGAGGGAGAGGAAGUCAGGACAAUGGACAGGGUCACGGCAGCGCGCCUGAGGCGUCUGGGGCGCAUCUUGCUUAUUAAACAGUGAUGCAAGGACCUGGCUAUUUCUGCCAGAAGCUCCGUGGGUGAGUCCACCAAACUGCUGGGGUGGAGAACCACUGACGUUUGGGGCCAAGGUGGCUGAAGUGGGCUCUGAACUGAGGCAAAGAGCAGGGAAGAAGAGGUCAUUGGAGGAAGCCUGCUGGGCUGAGUUUGCAGUGCCUCCAGCACGUCCUUCUGGAGAGGUUGGUUCAUCCACACCUGUUCAUCCACAAGAGUGGAGGAGCCACCUUCACCAGGAAGAGCUUCUGUCAAGGUAGAGAUGGCAUCUGUCCUAGGAAGCUCAGGCUGCUGUGAAAAAAUACCAGACACCAAGUGGCUUAAAAAGCAGGCAUCUCUUUCCUUAGAGUCCUGAGGCCCUGCAGUUCAAGAUCAAGAUGUGCUCAUAGCUGCUGUCUACGGAGACCCCUCUCCCUGGCUUGCGGGCGGUGAUUUCUUGCUGUGCCCUCACGUGCCCGCAUUCCUGGCGUCUCUUUUUGUCCUAAUCUCCCCUUCUUAUGAGGACAUCCUUCGGAUCAGAUUAGGGCCCACCCUGAUGGCCUCAUUUUAGCUUAAUCGUGUUCUUAAAGGUCUUAUCUCUAAAUACAGUCCAUUCUGAGAUACCAGGUGUUGAAGUGGGGAGGCAUAUAAUUCAGCUGUAAAAGCAUCUUCGUGGUGAUGGGCAAAUGUCAGCUUUGCCCAUUGAGCCCUGAAGGAACCACCGGUCCACAGGUCCCAUCUGAUAAGGAGACCUUCUAGUUUGGGGGCGAGGGGGUGGGUCUUGCUGGGUUAACCUCCCUGUAGCCCACCUCCCCCAGACCAUGGAUGGAUCGAUGCUUGCUGUGUGUCUGAUGAACCAUCUCAUUUCAUCCUCACACCAGCCAGCAUGCACUAUCUGGCAUCACUCUCUCUGUUUCUAAGAUGAAAACAGGUUUGGCAUGAAGGUGUGACCUGCUAGAGGUCCCCCUGCGGGGAGACCUUGACCUUGGUUCAUCUGGACUCUCCAGAGCCCAUGACCUUAACCCCGUACCGUACAGCUUCUCCUCGAAUUAUUUGAACCAGAAUUUCUUUGGCUUAGAAACAUCUCUGAUUCUUUUAGAACUAAAAGUUCUUAAGAAUUCACAGGUCAAGAAGGUGACCUUCCGUCAAAGGUUUCAAACUGUUUCUUAUCCCUGUGACUCUGAAAACCCUUCACAAUGUCGUAGAUGUGACGAUGGGUGGCUGGGACGUUCUCUGGUUGGCCUCACAGCAGGAUCAUUCCCGGUCUUCUCAGGAGCCCCAACAGCAGGAGAGAGAAGCAAAGGAGAGAUAAUGGCCCCAGGGGCGGCACGGAAAAGAGGCGGCAAUGACCGGGGAAGGGUAUUUUGAUUUCUGUCUCCCAGCAACACCCAGGGGACUGUUCCAGAGAAUGAACUGAGGACCCAGAAGAGCCUGGGAUCGAGGCUGUGGAAGGUGGAGGAGUCUGCUGAGCUUGAAGAUAAGCACAGACCACUGUCUUCUUUCCAAGUCACCAGGAGGUCUGGGUCUCGAGCCACCAGAUCCCCAGUGACCCAGGCUCCCAGAUCCUGUAUCCUACACCACCUGGGUCCUUGCGCCACAAUGGACCACCCAGCACGGAUGUUGGAAAGUUGGAGAUCGUGAGAGGCAUAAUCAUUAACCUGGACGGAAUGUUUGGAGGUUCCCGAGUUGAAACAACUCAGGUGGAACCACGAGAGCUGUCAGAGGAGAAGGGACUCAUUGGGAAGGGCUGAGCUGACCCUGGCACCAGGCAGACUCAGGAUGGGCGAGGGUGUCUGGCCACUGCUGGGGCAGAACUGCUAUAAACAAGCUGUGCCUGUCAUGUCUUCUCUUUAGCUUCUCCAGAUAACGACGCCUAAUGUUUCACCUUGACCGUCUGCAGCACAUUGACAAGAAGCCUGCUGAGGAGCUAGUAUUUAUUAUUUCAAUGAGUGAUGGCGUAAUAACAUUAUAGUUUUGUUCAUUGUCUCUGUAUGAAAAGUGAGGGGAAAUGAGGAUGGGAAGGCUUGUCACUUCCAGAUGACACAAGGACAGGCUGGAGUACAGGCUCAGCUUUUCUCCACGAUGCACCCAGGAGGCUCAGCCUAUGCUCCAGAAAAGACCUUACCAGAGAGGGGGUCAAGUUCGUCCCUUGUCCCACCCCCUACGCUUGACAGAGCUCAGUACAUAGUACCCAGCAAAUUGCAAUCGGUAUGAAAGCAGCACCUCGCCUGGCGCAUGAGGUCAAGUCCAAGGAUGCCAGAAGGGA